This 67-nucleotide transfer RNA is filed under the name Paranemertes cf. peregrina SCS-2010. RNAcentral describes it as "tRNA-Lys". The record is from RNAcentral. Lineage: Eukaryota; Metazoa; Nemertea; Enopla; Monostilifera; Emplectonematidae.
AUUUUAGAAGCUAAUAUUUUAUAGCGUUGGAUUUUUACUCCAGAAAAAGGGAUUUUCUCCUAAAGUA